GACGAACGCUGGCGGCGCGCUUAACACAUGCAAGUCGAACGGAAAGGCCUGCUUUCCCUUGUGGAUUGCGGGUACUCGAGUGGCGAACGGGUGAGUAACACGUGAGUGAUCUGCCCCCAACUUGGGUAUAAGCCUGGGAAACUGGGUCUAAUUCCCGAUAGGACUGCAGGGUGGUGCCUGUGGUGGAAAACGAUUUUCUAGUGGUUGGGGAUGAGCUCGCGGCCUAUCAGCUUGUUGGUGGGGUAAUGGCCUACCAGGGCGGCGACGGGUAGCCGGCCUGGGAGGGUGGACGGCCACAUUGAGACUGAGAUACGGCCCAGACUCCUACGGGAGGCAGCAGUGGGGAAUAUUGCACAAUGGGCGGAAGCCUGAUGCAGCGACGCCGCGUGGGAGAUGACGGCCUUCGGGUUGUAGACUCCUUUCGACCGCGAGGAAGCCACCUGGUUGGAAGGGUGGUGACGGUAGUGGUAGAAGAAGCACCGGCUAACUACGUG
This 494-nucleotide ribosomal RNA is filed under the name uncultured bacterium. RNAcentral's name for it is "partial 16S ribosomal RNA". It matches the Rfam family "Bacterial small subunit ribosomal RNA", at positions 28 to 507 of the family's 1533-position model. The record is from RNAcentral.